GUUAGUACUGCGGAGAUCAUUGUCGAUGCCUUACAUGCAGACCAACACGUGAAUCAGUUUGAACACAUAGGGCUGGUUUGAGGUGUUCAACACCUCGGCUUGCCUCUGGUUCGGUGGAUGACGACUUGUGCGUCCUCCUCUGGGCCAAAACACAAACCCCGGCGCUGAAUGCGUCAAGGAAUUUAAAAUUUGUUCUGAGCGCACCUGCAUGCCACCGGAGACGGUUUUCGUGCGGGUUGUGUUCCGACCCUAAUAUAGAAUGACUCUCGGCAACGGAUAUCUAGGCUCUUGCAUCGAUGAAGAACGUAGCGAAAUGCGAUACUUGGUGUGAAUUGCAGAAUCCCGUGAACCAUCGAGUCUUUGAACGCAAGUUGCGCCUGAUGCCAUUAGGUUGAGGGCACGUCUGCCUGGGCGUCACAUAUCGAAGCCUCUUGCCAAUUUCCUAUUGAUUGGUAUUGUGCAAGAUGAUGUUGGCCUCCCGUGAGCACCAUCGCCUCAUGGUUGGUUGAAAAUCGAGACCUUGGUAGAGUGUGCCAUGAUAAAUGGUGCAUGUGUUAAGCACGAGACCAAACAAUCAUGUGCUGCUCUAUUGAAUUUAGCCUCUUUUACCCACAUGCGUGUCUAAACGCUCGUGAUGAGACCUCAGGUCAGGCGGGGCUACCCGCUGAAUUUAAGCAUAUCAAUACGGAAAAGAAAGAAA
RNAcentral lists this ribosomal RNA (700 nucleotides) under Trifolium pratense (red clover). RNAcentral describes it as "eukaryotic LSU rRNA". The stretch from base 262 to 417 matches the Rfam family "5.8S ribosomal RNA". The record is from RNAcentral. Lineage: Eukaryota; Viridiplantae; Streptophyta; Magnoliopsida; Fabales; Fabaceae.